This 1594-nucleotide unclassified non-coding RNA is filed under the name Daphnia pulex (common water flea). Its description in RNAcentral is "bTB/POZ domain-containing protein At3g56230-like, transcript variant X2". Lineage: Eukaryota; Metazoa; Arthropoda; Branchiopoda; Diplostraca; Daphniidae. The record is from RNAcentral.
AUCAGUAUUGUUCUCGAAGCCUCGAUAGAACAGUCGGUAGUUUAAUGUUUAUCAUUGUGUGCUCACUGUUCGUGAAAGAUUAAACUUAAAUUCAUUAUUUUCUGAGAAAAGUAUUCGUAGAACUAAGUUAUUUUUUAUAACAAUCAAGGAUGUCGCACAGAGCAUAUACGCCAUGUUCUCCUUCGAUGGCUCACUAUCCAUAUUCUCCAUCUUCUAAUUAUGGUUUUCCAGUGGACUAUUAUAGUGAUUCAAAUGCUCCCAACUAUCCUCAUCCUGAUGCCUCAUUUGCUGAUCUGCAAGCAUUCUGCAACAGGAGUAGGAAUUCUACAGCAGGAAGUGCAUAUGCUCCAUCUCUUCCGGACUCUGAUGUACAAUCUCAGUACUUUGUAGCUGAUUUGGUAACAACCAAUGAUGCUUGCUUUCCCAGGAGCAGAAACUCCAUGGCAGGAAGUCUUGCCAACUCCCUUCCGGAUUUUGACACAUCACAAUAUGAAACCAAUGAUGACGGCGUUGAUUACGGCUACGUACCUGUGGGCAACGAAAAUGGCGGUGAAGAUGAGGACGAUGAUGAUGGAGCGGAUUGGUUUGACAUGGAAGCUCUGACUGGUUUAAGCAUCGAUGAAUUAGACGAGAAUGGUUUGGGCGAUCCUUCAUGGAGGUUUGAAUUCCCUCUACCUAUGCUUCCCGUCGUGCCUGUGUUGGAAUUGAAGACGGAAAUAUUUGAUGGCCAAACUUUUUACGUUGAUGAUGAAGGAUAUGUACAAGCAUAUACCCAAGGAGAGUGUCGAGUUCCUUUCACUGGAAAAGCAUCCAUCGGAGUUUGGUUUGGACCAAACCACCAAGCGAAUGUAAGCGAACGUCUUCAUCGCGGUCGGCGAACUCAAGAAGCAGCUCGUUUUGCUGCAGUAAUUGAAGCCAUUAGAGUAGCUGGAGCCCACGGGAUUAAAAAAUUGCAGAUCAAUACGGAUUAUGAAAAUAUAAUCCGUUUCAUGAUUUACUUCAUCUUGAAGUGGGAGCAGAAUGACUGGAUGACAUUGAGAGGACAUCAUGUCAAGAACAAAGUGCUGAUUCUGGAAUUAGACUACUUUUCACGACUUCUUGAUAUUAAAUGGAAUUAUGUCCCCUACUACGAGGGUGCCGAAGGCAAUUUGGAAGCAGCUCAUCUUGCACUGGAGGCUCAUGAUCUGCAAUUACCACAAGUGAGAAAAACUGCAGAAGAGAUGGAGAUGGACGUUGUUCAGGAUGAGCAACCUAAAGGAUCAACUUCAAACGAAGAGGUUACGAAAAAGCGACGGUUUGUUCCUAUUGUGUAUUAAGUUCUGUGUUUCGGUUAUCGUUGGAUGCCCGAAAUUGUUUCUUCGUUUUAGAAACAUUGUGUGCUCCAAUGUUAACAAUUAUUUGCUAAUUUAAAUCCAGCCUAACCAAUCCUGGUUAAUUCGUAAUCAUUAAGCGUCUGGUAACAGUUUAUAUUAACCAAGAAAUUGUUUUUGUUAUUAUUUUUGAAAAAAUACGUGAAUACCCAACAGAGGAAUUGCUGUAAUUUUCAUUACCUUAUCAGGUAAAAAAGGAAAAUACAUUUUCAGUUGUGAUUAAA